GCAGUCGCCGCGGGAAUACGUAGGUGGCAAGCGUUGUCCGGAAUUAUUGGGCGUAAAGCGCGCGCAGGUGGUUUAAUAAGUCUGAUGUGAAAGCCCACGGCUCAACCGUGGAGGGUCAUUGGAAACUGUUAAACUUGAGUGCAGGAGAGAAAAGUGAAAUUCCUAGUGUAGCGGUGAAAUGCGUAGAGAUUAGGAGGAACACCAGUGGCGAAGGCGGCUUUUUGGCCUGUAACUGACACUGAGGCGCGAAAGCGUGGGGAGCAAACAGGAUUAGAUACCCGCGUAGUCCCUGUCUCUUAUAC
This 302-nucleotide ribosomal RNA is filed under the name uncultured bacterium. Its description in RNAcentral is "partial 16S ribosomal RNA". It matches the Rfam family "Bacterial small subunit ribosomal RNA", at positions 508 to 807 of the family's 1533-position model. The record is from RNAcentral.